GGGGGUGUUCUGGAUUCUACCUUUGGUUGGAGCGCUCCGCUGCCUGUCGAGAGUCGUGGGUCUCUCGUAAAAACCCCUGCGAAAACAAAUAAACGGCAACACCGAAGAAAUGCCCCUGGCCGCCUAAUUAGGCAGCCUCGUAUGUCCGGCGACUCCUGCUGGCCGGAACGUACGUCGACAGCAGGAAUAGUCCGCGUGGUCGUCCCUGACGAGCGGGCCGUAUCUUCAUCCAGGGUCUAGCCGACGACGAGCGCGUGCCGUCACAUGUCGUUGGCGAAGUUAACUCGGCACUACACCGGUAGAGGCGGAUCGUGAAGGCCAGAGGCACCCGGGUUCAACUCCCGGCACCUCCACCA
This 356-nucleotide transfer-messenger RNA is filed under the name Opitutaceae. RNAcentral's name for it is "UBA6669 sp016794625 Standard tmRNA". It matches the Rfam family "transfer-messenger RNA". Rfam says of the family: Bacterial tmRNA, also known as 10Sa RNA or SsrA, is named for its dual tRNA and mRNA-like properties. Its role is to liberate the mRNA from a stalled ribosome. RNAcentral also lists the same sequence under 1 other name. Lineage: Bacteria; Pseudomonadati; Verrucomicrobiota; Opitutia; Opitutales. The record is from RNAcentral.